RNAcentral lists this ribosomal RNA (301 nucleotides) under uncultured bacterium. RNAcentral describes it as "partial 16S ribosomal RNA". It matches the Rfam family "Bacterial small subunit ribosomal RNA", at positions 509 to 809 of the family's 1533-position model. The record is from RNAcentral.
CAGCCGCCGCGGGAAUACGAAGGGUGCAAGCGUUACUCGGAAUUACUGGGCGUAAAGCGUGCGUAGGUGGUGGUUUAAGUCCGUUGUGAAAGCCCUGGGCUCAACCUGGGAAUUGCAGUGGAUACUGGGUCACUAGAGUGUGGUAGAGGAUAGUGGAAUUUCCGGUGUAGCAGUGAAUGCGUAGAGAUCGGAAGGAACAUCAGUGGCGAAGGCGGCCAUCUGGGACAACACUGACGCUGAGGCACGAAAGCGUGGGGAGCAAACAGGAUUAGAUACCCCAUAGUCCCUGUCUCUUAUACAC